Molecule: ribosomal RNA, 480 nt
Filed under: uncultured bacterium
Lineage: Bacteria
Description: bacterial SSU rRNA
Rfam family: Bacterial small subunit ribosomal RNA
Source: RNAcentral
AAUUAACGCUGGCGGUGUGCUUAACACAUGCAAGUCGAACGAGAAAGCUUCUUCGGAAGUAAGUAAAGUGGCGAACUGGUGAGUAAUGCAUAAGAAUCUGCCUUUUAGUGAAGGAUACCAUCGGGAAACUGAUGUUAAUACUGCAUAGUCCCGACUUGUCGGGUAAAGAUGGCCUCUUGCUGUCGCUAAAAGAUGAGCUUAUGUCCUAUUAGCUUGUUGGUGGGGUAAAGGCCUACCAAGGCGAAGAUGGGUAGCCGGCCUGAGAGGGUGUACGGCCACAUUGGGACUGAGAUACGGCCCAAACUUCUACGGAAGGCAGCAGUGGGGAAUUUUGCGCAAUGGACGAAAGUCUGACGCAGCGACACCGCGUGGAGGAUGACGGUUUUAGGAUUGUAAACUCCUGUUAAGUGGGAAGAAAGUACGAAGAGUAAUAUGCUUCGGAGAUGACGGUACCACUAGAGAAAGCACCGGCAAACUUCG